AGGAUGAUAGUUAAAAAUAACAUUUGAUUUGCAUUCAAAAAUUAUUAAAUACCAAUUUAAUUUAUCUUA
Molecule: transfer RNA, 69 nt
Filed under: Analcellicampa danfengensis
Lineage: Eukaryota; Metazoa; Arthropoda; Insecta; Hymenoptera; Tenthredinidae
Description: tRNA-Ala
Rfam family: tRNA
About the family: Transfer RNA (tRNA) molecules are approximately 80 nucleotides in length. Their secondary structure includes four short double-helical elements and three loops (D, anti-codon, and T loops). Further hydrogen bonds mediate the characteristic L-shaped molecular structure. tRNAs have two regions of fundamental functional importance: the anti-codon, which is responsible for specific mRNA codon recognition, and the 3' end, to which the tRNAs corresponding amino acid is attached (by aminoacyl-tRNA synthetases). tRNAs cope with the degeneracy of the genetic code in two manners: having more than one tRNA (with a specific anti-codon) for a particular amino acid; and 'wobble' base-pairing, i.e. permitting non-standard base-pairing at the 3rd anti-codon position.
Source: RNAcentral